UUCAUCCGCCCGUCUUGAAACACGGACCAAGGAGUCUAACAAGUGUGCGAGUCAUAUACCCUCACGGUACGUGGCGCACUGAAAGGGAAGUCGUCCUCGACGACGUCGUAUGACUCCCUCCGGGGAGGCAAUACGGGCCGAGCGCGGGCGAAGGGCCUGCGCUUUGCGCCUGAGCAUAUAUGUUGGGACCCGAAAGGUGGUGACCUAUGCCUGAACAGGAUGAAGCCGAGGGAAACCUUGGUGGAGGUCCGCAGCGAUGUUGACGUGCAAAUCACUCGUUUGAUUUGGGUAUAGGGGCGAAAGACUCAUCGAACCACCUAGUAGCUGGUUCACCCCGAAGUUUCCCUCAGGAUAGCUGGUGACAGGGCAAGUCGCGUGCGGUAAAGCAAAUGAUUAGAGGAAUUGGCGGGCACAGUCCCGUUGACCUAUUCUCAAACUUUCAACGUGCGUCAAGCCCCGGCGUGCUUCAGUGACGCCGGGGCGCGAUUGUGUCACUUAGUGGGCCAUUUUCGGUAAGCGGAACUGGCGAUGCGCGAUGCUGCGCAAGCGAACGUAAGGUGCCCAAGUGUAGAUUCAUAGACACCACGAAGGGUGUUCGUUGAUAUAGACAGCAGGACGGUGGCCAUGGAAGUCGGAACCCGCUAAGGAGUGUGUAACAACUC
This 662-nucleotide ribosomal RNA is filed under the name Paramoeba aestuarina. RNAcentral describes it as "partial Eukaryotic large subunit ribosomal RNA". It matches the Rfam family "Eukaryotic large subunit ribosomal RNA", at positions 640 to 1291 of the family's 3401-position model. The record is from RNAcentral. Lineage: Eukaryota; Discosea; Flabellinia; Dactylopodida; Paramoebidae.